Molecule: ribosomal RNA, 380 nt
Filed under: uncultured eukaryote
Lineage: Eukaryota
Description: partial 18S ribosomal RNA
Rfam family: Eukaryotic small subunit ribosomal RNA
Source: RNAcentral
CAAUAGCGUAUAUUAAAGUUGUUGCAGUUAAAAAGCUCGUAGUUGGAUUUGUGGCGUACGGUGUGUUCCGGGCACUUGUUGUCUGAGUAACCUGCUGUUGCCAUCCUUGGGUGGAACCUGUGUGGCAUUAGGUUGUCGUGCAGGGGAUGCCCAUCAUUUACUGUGAAAAAAUUUGAGUGUUCAAAGCAGGCUUAUGCCGUUGAAUAUAUUAGCAUGGAAUAAUGAGAUAGGACUUUUUUGCUAUUUUGUUGGUUUGCGCAAAGAGGUAAUGAUUAAUAGGGACAGUUGGGGGUAUUCGUAUUCCAUUGUCAGAGGUGAAAUUCUUGGAUUUUUGGAAGACGAACUACUGCGAAAGCAUUUACCAAGGAUGUUUUCAUUAA